Molecule: long non-coding RNA, 2791 nt
Organism: Oncorhynchus tshawytscha (Chinook salmon)
Lineage: Eukaryota; Metazoa; Chordata; Actinopteri; Salmoniformes; Salmonidae
Source: Ensembl
CACACACGCACACACACACACACACGCACGCACAAAGGUACUAACAAUCAUGAUUUGAUGUUAAACACACAGCAGUAGGGUAAUAUUAUCCUACAGUAGGUUGGGUCUCCUCUCCUUUGUAUGCCAGUCAUCUAAAUCCCCCUGACAGACAAGCAGGUCAGUUGAGGAGGAGAAAAGCAUCUUAGCUGACUGACUGUGUUCAAGAUCUUCCCUUCCUGUAAUGGAAAUGGGAGGCGGGAACAAAAUGUAAGCACAAACACAUGGUUUCAUUCAAUGUUAAAACCACUACAUUCUGAACAACAACAACAUGUGGCAGCCAUUUAAAACAAUGCAACACAGAAGGAGGAACAGGGGGUGGGUCCCACACACAGCCAGGCUGUUCUCAGAUGCCACUCCUUCUCUAAAGGCCCCCAACAUAUAAACAGGGGCUCUGGCUGUAGAGGCCUCCUCUAUCAGUCAAUCCCCAGGCCUGUGUGUGUUGUGUCCUCCUGGCCCUAAGACAUCAGGAUUACACCAUCCCAUCCAGAGCCAAUUAUGGGCUUUGCUUUCCUCCUCCUGCCUGCUGCUCUACCUGGCUCUCCUACACACCUCUCAAUGUGACUGUGUUCUCUUCCACAGAGUGUGUGCGCCCACUACAGAUCAUGCUAGAGGCCACACCAGGUUGGAUGGGAUAUUAGCAGAGUUGUCUAUGUUGUUACCUCACACACAAUGUUAAAGGCCUAGUGCAGUCAAACAUUUGAUUUACUUAUGUUUUAUAUACUGUAUAGGAGGUUGGAAUAAUACUGUGAAAUUAUAAUAAUGCCCUUUUAGUAUAGGAGCUGUUUGAAAAGACUGCCUGAAAUUUCAGCCUGUUUUGGUGGGAUGGAGCUUUGGAAUGCCUGAUGACAUCACCUGGCGGAAAAUGUGUUAAUAGACCAAUAAGAAAAGUGUUCCAAACCUCUCUGCCAAUAAACAGCUAGUUGCUAAGAAGCAAUAUUUGUUUAUUUUUCUGGCCAUUCUAAUUGAAAACAAUCACAGUAAGAUAAUUAUUUGUUCCCCAGAAAUUAUUUAUUAUUGAGAUGAAAACGGCUGCAUUGGACCUUUAAGAAUACCCUGUUCCCCUGUUCUCCCUAACCCCAACAUCCUAAUACCCUGUUGCCCCUUGUCCCUGUUCCCCAGUGUCCCUGUUCCCCAGUGUCCCUGUUCCCCUGUUCCCCACUCCAUGUGAUGUGGUAUGUCUCCCGUCUACCCCCCAACAUCCUAAUACCCUGGCUAGGGGCAGUGUCUCCCGUCUACCCCCCAACAUCCUAAUACCCAGGCUAGGGGCGGUGUCUCCCGUCUACUCCCCAACAUCCUAAUACCCAGGCUAGGGUCGGUGUCUCCCGUCUAACCCCCAACAUCCUAAUACCCAGGCUAGGGACGGUGUCUCCCGUCUACCCCCAACCCCCAACAUCCUAAUACCCAGGCUAGGGGCGGUGUCUCCUGUCUACUCCCCAACAUCCUAAUACCCAGGCUAGGGGCGGUGUCUCCUGUCUACUCCCUAACAUCCUAAUACCCUGGCUAGGGGCGGUGUCUCCCGUCUAACCCCCAACAUCCUAAUACCCAGGCUAGGGGCGGUGUCUCCUGUCUCUACCCCAACAUCCUAAUACCCUGGCUAGGGGCGGUGUCUCCUGUCUAACCCCAACAUCCUAAUACCCAGGCUAGGGGCGGUGUCUCCCGUCUAACCCCCAACAUCCUAAUACCCAGGCUAGGGGCGUUGUCUCCUGUCUACUCCCCAACAUCCUAACACCCUGUGUGCCCCUGUCUCCUGUCUACUCCCCAACAUCCUAAUACCCUGGCUAGGGGCGGUGUCUCCUGUCUACCCCCCAACAUCCUAAUACCCAGGCUAGGGGUGGUGUCUCCUGUCUACAUCCUAAUACCCUGGCUAGGGUCUGUGUCAGGACAGUAGAGGGCCUCCACUAUACUACCCUCCAGAACAACACACCAGACCCUCCACUAUACUACCCUCCAGAACAACACACCAGACCCUCCACUAUACUACCCUCCAUACCAAUCACAGACCCUCCACUACACGACCCUCCAGACCAAUAACAGACCCUCCACUAUACUACCCUCCAGACCAAUAACAGACCCUCCACUAUACUACCCUCCAGAACAGACCCUCCACUAUACUACCCUCCAGAACAAUCACACCAGACCCUGAACUAUACUACCCUCCAGAACAAUCACACCAGACCCUGCACUAUACUACCCUCCAGAACAAUCACACCAGACCCUCCACACUACCCUACUCACAGACCCUCCAGACCCUCCACUAUACUACCCUCCAGACCCUCCACUAUACUACCCUCCAGAACAAUCACACCAGACCCUCCACUAUACUACCCUAAGUCUAAAUAUUGCUGUUACAUUGUACAACCUUCAAUGUUGUCAUAAUUAUGUACAAUUCUGGCAAGUUAAUUACGGUCUUUGUUAGGAAUAAAUGGACUUCACACAGUUCACAACGAGCCAGGCGGCCCAAACUGCUGCAUAAACCCUGACUGCUUGCACGGAACGCAAGAGAUGUGACACAAUUUCCCUAGUUAAAAGCAAUUCAUGUUAGCAGGCAAUAUUAACUAAAUAUGCAGGUGUACAAAUAUAUACUUGUGUAUUGAUUUUAAAGAAAGGCAUUGAUGUUUAUGGUUUGGUACACAUUGGUGCAACGCCAGUGAUUUUUUCGCAAAUGCGCUUGUUAAAUCAACACCCUUUUGGCGAAGUAGGCUGUUAUUUGAUGAGAAAUUAGCAGGCACCGCAUUGAUCAUAUGCAACGCAG